GUGGGGAAUAUUGGACAAUGGGCGCAAGCCUGAUCCAGCCAUGCCGCGUGAGUGAUGAAGGCCUUAGGGUUGUAAAGCUCUUUCGCCGGGGACGAUGAUGACGGUACCCGGAGAAGAAGCCCCGGCUAACUUCGUGCCAGCAGCCGCGGUAAUACGAAGGGGGCUAGCGUUGUUCGGAAUUACUGGGCGUAAAGCGCGCGUAGGCGGUCAGCCAAGUCAGGGGUGAAAGCCCGGGGCUCAACCUCGGAACUGCCCUUGAGACUGGUUGACUUGAGUAUGGAAGAGGGUCGUGGAAUUCCCAGUGUAGAGGUGAAAUUCGUAGAUAUUGGGAAGAACACCAGUGGCGAAGGCGGCGACCUGGUCCAUUACUGACGCUGAGGUGCGACAGCGUGGGGAGCAAACAGGAUUAGAAACCCGGGUAGUCC
RNAcentral lists this ribosomal RNA (425 nucleotides) under uncultured bacterium. RNAcentral describes it as "partial 16S ribosomal RNA". It matches the Rfam family "Bacterial small subunit ribosomal RNA", at positions 354 to 796 of the family's 1533-position model. The record is from RNAcentral.